Molecule: ribosomal RNA, 253 nt
Filed under: uncultured bacterium
Lineage: Bacteria
Description: partial 16S ribosomal RNA
Rfam family: Bacterial small subunit ribosomal RNA
Source: RNAcentral
UACGGGGGGAGCGAGCGUUAUUCGGAUUCACUGGGCGUAAAGGGUUCGUAGGCGGUCGAAUAGGUCAGAGGUGAAAUCCAACGGCUCAACCGUUGAACUGCCUUUGAACCCAUUCGACUUGAGGACAUGAGAGGAAAGCGGAAUUCUCGGUGUAGCGGUGAAAUGCGUGGAUAUCGAGAGGAACACCGGUGGCGAAGACGGCUUUCUGGCGUGUUUCUGACGCUGAGGAACGAAAGCUAGGGGAGCGAACAGG